RNAcentral lists this ribosomal RNA (494 nucleotides) under uncultured bacterium. RNAcentral's name for it is "partial 16S ribosomal RNA". It matches the Rfam family "Bacterial small subunit ribosomal RNA", at positions 28 to 507 of the family's 1533-position model. The record is from RNAcentral.
GACGAACGCUGGCGGCGUGCUUAACACAUGCAAGUCGAACGGUGAAGCGCCUUCCUUUUUGGUGGGUGUGGAUGAGUGGCGAACGGGUGAGUAACACGUGAGUAACCUGCCCCCUUCUUCUGGAUAACCGCAUGAAAGUGUGGCUAAUACGGGAUAUUCUGGGUCUGGCGCAUGAUGGGUCUGGGAAAGAUAUUGUUUCGGUGGGGGAUUGGCUCGCGGCCUAUCAGCUUGUUGGUGGGGUGAUGGCCUACCAAGGCGGUGACGGGUAGCCGGCCUGAGGGGGUGGACGGUCACACUGGGGCUGAGGAACGGCCAAGCCGGGUAUGGGACGCAGCAGUGAGUAAUACUGGACGAUGGGCGCGAGACUGAUGCAGCGACGCCGCGUGAGUGAUGGAGGCCUGCCGGUUGUGAGACUCUUGCGUCAGUGAAGCAGGCCUGCCUCGUGUGUGGGUAGGUUGACGGUAGCUGGAUAAGAAGCGCCGGCUAACUACGUG